RNAcentral lists this ribosomal RNA (166 nucleotides) under Melampyrum sylvaticum. RNAcentral describes it as "5.8S ribosomal RNA". It matches the Rfam family "5.8S ribosomal RNA". Rfam says of the family: 5.8S ribosomal RNA (5.8S rRNA) is a component of the large subunit of the eukaryotic ribosome. Lineage: Eukaryota; Viridiplantae; Streptophyta; Magnoliopsida; Lamiales; Orobanchaceae. The record is from RNAcentral.
CUAAACGACUCUCGGCAACGGAUAUCUCGGCUCUCGCAUCGAUGAAGAACGUAGCGAAAUGCGAUACUUGGUGUGAAUUGCAGAAUCCCGUGAACCAUCGAGUCUUUGAACGCAAGUUGCGCCCGAAGCCUUCUGGCUGAGGGCACGUCUGCCUGGGCGUCACGCA